GAUUUCUUUGCUGGUGUCACAUCGUUUUUUAUUAUUAUAUGGAGGGUUCUAACACUGAUAAAGUCCCAAUCAUUCCAGAAUGUAGAUCCGACUUGAAGCCUUAUGUUGGCAAGCUUUUUGAAUCUGUAGAAGAUGGCGUUUCUUUUUAUGAAGAAUAUGCUAACGUAUGUCGGUUAGAUACCCGAAGAUUUGGUCACAAAUUAUCAAUUGGCGUCAAAACUUGGUAGACUCUAGUUUGUAGCAGGCAAGGUGAACUGUUGUGUGACGAGGAAAAUGAAAGCACUACGCCCGAGGGUAGUGCCAACAAGCGUAGAUGGCGUUCUAGUAGAUUUCUCUGCAAUGCGAGACUUACCUUGAAGUAAGUAAUCGUUUCUGGCAGUGCAAGAUAUGUUAUUAGCAACUUCAUAGAAAACCACAAUCACGAGAUGGUUGACAGAAGCACGUUCGAUACAAGAAAUCCAACCGUAAGCUUGGGGAUAUCCAUUAUAAAUUCAUGCAGGAUUCCGCAAAGGCAAAUAUUGGGCAUACAACAACUUUCAACUUGUUAAAGGAGUUCAUGGGUGGAUACGAUUCCGUUGGCUGCACCGUCACUGACAUACGUAAUAGUACUCGUGACAUAUUGCAGCAAAUGAAAGACGUUGAUAUCAAGUUAAUUUUAAAUCAAAUGGAGGAGAAGAAGGCUAGCUGCGACGGGUUCCAUUACAAAUUCCAACAAGCUAGUGAUGGCAAGUUACUUAGUCUUUUCUGGUGGGAUGCUAUGUGCAGGAAGAACUACAAGAUGUUUGGUGAAGUUGUAUCAUUUGAUACUACAUAUUCCACAAACAGGUAUUGCAUGGUGUUUGGUCCAUUCACGGGGAAAGACAACCACGGAUGUCCAGUAGCAUUUUGGGCCGGAUUUGUGUCAAGUGAAGGCGCAGACUCUUUCUCUUGGUUGUUGAGAGAGUUUGUAGAAUGUAAGGGGGGGCUCCUAAGUUGAUAAUAACUGAUCAGGAUUGGGGGAUGAAGCUUGCUAUAGAACAUAUGCUAAACGGUACCAGACACCGUUGGUGUAUGUGGCAUAUCAUGUUGAAACUGCCUGAUAAGGUUCCCAAAAAAAUACUUGCUAGCGAAAAUUUGAAGAGGGAUUUGGACUCUUGUGUGUGGUCGGAAUUAUUGGAGCUAGAGCAAUUUGAAGAAACAUGGCUGGCAAUUAUGGAUCGAUAUGGCUUGCAAGAUGAAUCUUGGUUCAAAACUAUGUUUGAGCAAAGUGAAUAUUUGAUACCAACUUAGUUUAGAGACUUCCCAAUGGGGUCAUUGUUGAAGACAACAUCAUUUUAUGAGUCUGAGAAUAGUUUCUUCAAAAGGUACACCAAGCCAUACUACAAUCUUGCUGACUUUAUAAUGCAGUACAACAGUGGAUUGGAUUCACAACGGAACCUAACAGAAAGACUUGAUUUUGUUGAUUCCACCAAAGUCCCAAUUAUGUCAACAAAGUUGUUGAUUGAGAAACAUGCAACAUCUAUGUACACUGAUCGUAUUUUCCAGCAAGUACAAGAUGAGAUCGUUGAGGGACAUCGAAGGUGCCGAAUGAAACAUUGUGAUGUGGCAAAUAAUUAUGAGAUAUACACAUUGACUGAUAGUCAUCCCAACAAAUGUGUUGUCCGUCAUGAGGUUGGCACUGAAUGGUACGAGUGCGACUGCAAGCUGUUUCUGCGGCGUGGAAUAUUGUGUUGCCACGUUUUUUAGGUUUUCAAAAACCACGACCUUACAUUAAUACCAGAUAGAUAUCUUGGUACAAGGUGGCUGAAGACAUCGCUGUUAAAGGAAGUUCACAGUGAGCCUAAUGAGGAGUCAACGCUUACUGCAGUUACUACAGAGUCGCAAGUUGAUAAAAAAAUGAGAAGUUGCAACAAAACUGCACUCGUUGUACUUUCAUUUAUUUCAACGCGCCCAAAGCAACGACGAUGACAUUACUGCAUUGUUUGACGGUAUGGAAGCCCUAGGGGAAAAACUAUUCGAUGGUACUUUUCCAUUAGUCUCAUCGAUGGAUAAAGAACAGAGAUUUGAGAAUCUGUACGGAUCUUCUCGACCUAGUGUUGUAACUGUGCACCCUCCUGAUGUGGUGAAGACAAAGGGUUCAGGAAGAGGCGGCAGAAUUGUGUCACCGAAAGAGAAGGCUAUGAGGGAACAACAAAGGCCUCGUCGGCGAUGUGGAAAAUGUGGAGAAGUUGGUCACCACGAUUCAAGAAACUGCGCCAGGCAAAAAGAUAAAGCCAAAAAGUAGUGGGUUUUAGUUUUUUUUAUGUUUACAUGCCACUUGA
Molecule: long non-coding RNA, 2300 nt
Organism: Salvia splendens (bonfire salvia)
Lineage: Eukaryota; Viridiplantae; Streptophyta; Magnoliopsida; Lamiales; Lamiaceae
Exons: 4
Source: RefSeq, a predicted model, not a curated record